RNAcentral lists this ribosomal RNA (275 nucleotides) under Photobacterium leiognathi subsp. mandapamensis. RNAcentral describes it as "partial 23S ribosomal RNA". It matches the Rfam family "Bacterial large subunit ribosomal RNA", at positions 2674 to 2925 of the family's 2925-position model. Lineage: Bacteria; Pseudomonadati; Pseudomonadota; Gammaproteobacteria; Vibrionales; Vibrionaceae. The record is from RNAcentral.
GCUCCUAGUACGAGAGGACCGGAGUGGACGAACCGCUGGUGUUCGGGUUGUGUCGCCAGACGCAUUGCCCGGUAGCUAAGUUCGGAAUCGAUAACCGCUGAAAGCAUCUAAGCGGGAAGCGAGCCUCAAGAUGAGUCAUCCCUAGACCUUUAAGGUCUCUAAAGGGUUGUUGAAGACUACAACGUUGAUAGGUCGGGUGUGUAAGUGCUGUGAGGCAUUGAGCUAACCGAUACUAAUUGCCCGUGAGGCUUAACCAUACAACACCCAAGGGGUUU